Molecule: long non-coding RNA, 5276 nt
Filed under: Sus scrofa (pig)
Lineage: Eukaryota; Metazoa; Chordata; Mammalia; Artiodactyla; Suidae
Description: lncRNA (ENSSSCG00000061316.1)
Source: RNAcentral
GGCCACACCUGCAGCAUAUGGAAGUUCUUGGACUAGGGGUCGAAUCAGAGCUGCUGCUGCCAGCCUGUGCCACAGCCAUGGCAACUUGAGAUCCAUGCCAGGUCUUCAACCUACACCACAGCUUGUGGCAACACCGGAUCCUUAACCCACUGAGUGAGGCCAGGAAUCAAUCAAACCUGCUUCCUCACAGACAUUAUGUUGGAUUCUUAACCCACAUUCAUUUUUUGUGAAUGUAAUGUUCAGUUUUGAUUUGUAGCUGUGCCAUUUUUUAAGUAUGUUAACCCCUUCCUAUAACUGCUUGCUUUAGCCUGAUAGUCAUGUAGGCUCAAACACAUCAGUAAAAUUAAAAAAUAAUCUAUUUUUUCUUACUUCCCUUGCCCAUAUUGUAUGAUUUUUAUGUCCUUUUUUUUUUAACAUCUUCGUGAUUAGAUCUGUAUGCUGGCUUACUUAACUGAUUGUUUUCCAAUUGUGGUUUCCUCCAUCCUGGUUCUUCCUCUUUUUUUUUUUUUUUUUAAUUUAGAGAAGGCCUUUCAGUAUUUCUUUUAGAAUGGGUUUCAUACUGAUGCACUCUUUUAGCUUUUGCUUGUUGGAGAAAUUCUUUAUUUCCCCUUCUAUUUUAAAUGAUAUUCUUGCUGGAUAGAGUAUUAUAGGUUGCAGAUUUUUCCCUUUCAGUGCUUUAAAUAUAUGUUGCCAAUCCCUCCUGGCCUGUAGUGUUUCUGUAGAGAAAUCAGCUGAUAGCCUUAUUGGGGUUCCCUUAUAAUUGAAGCUUUGCUUUUCUCAUGCUGCCUUUAGAAUCCUCUCUUCAUCUUUAACUUUUGCCGUUUUUAUUAUAACACGUCUUGGUGUGGACCUGUUUGGGUUCACCUUGUUUGGGGCCCUCUGUGCUUCCUAUAUCUUGAUAUCAGUAUCCUUUAGAUUCAGAAAGUUUUCAGCCAUAAUUUCUUGAAAUAUAUUUUCAAUCCCCUUUUCUUUUUCUUCUCCUCCUGGAAUUCCUAUUUUGCAUAGAUUGGCCCACUUUAUGUCAUCCCAUGGGUCUCUUAUAUUGGGCUUUCGUGUUUUUUCAUUUGGUUUUCUGUCUGCUGUCCUGUUUGGGUGAUUUCCAUUAUUCUAUCUUCCACUAAUUCAUUCCUCUGCAUUAUUCAUUCUGGUCUUUAUUGCCUUUAGCUCAGUUUGUAUCUCUGCAAAUGAAUUUUCUAGUUUUUCUUGGCUCUUCCUUCUAUUUUCUAGUUCCUUUCUGAGGGAAUUUGCAUUACUAUUCAUAUCUUCUCUUAAUUCCUUCAGUGUUUUCACUAUUUCUCUUUUGAAUUCCAGGUCUGUCAGACUGAGGUCUGUUUCAUUGUUGACUGCUUUAGGUAAAAUCUCCUGUUGCUUUAACUGGGAAUGGUUUCUGAGCUUCUUCAUCUUGCUUGUGUUUUUCUUUUUCUGUGAAUUUGAGGAAGCCCAACUAGUUUGGCACAGUCCAGAGCAGGCCAGCAGGGGGCUUCCCUCGAGUGAGCAGGGGUGGCUAGGGCAUGGUGCACUGGUGGGGCACUUCCCAUGGGUGGUGGGCCCGGUCUGCCAUGAAUGGCAGGUGGCUUCUUGCUGCAGGGCAAAAUACUUUUUUAAAAAAAUGAAAAUGACACAAUCAUCCAAUAACUGGGGGUUGGGUAAAUAAUUUUUGGUACAUCCACAUGGUAGAAUAUUAUGCAGCCAUUAAAGAUCACCUUCGGGAAUUCCCAUUGUGGCUAAGUGGUAAUGAACCCUACUAGUAUUCAUGAAGAUGUGGGUUCAGUCCCUGGCCUUGGUCAGUGGGUUAAGGAUCUGGCAUUGCCAGGAGCUGCAGUGUAGGUCCCAGAUGCAGCUCAGAUCCACUGUUGUGAUGGCUGUGGUGUAGGCCAGCAGCUGCAGUUCUGAUUCAACCCCUAAUCGGGGAACUUCCACAUGCCGUGGGUGAGGCCCUGAAGAGAUGAAAAAAAAAGUUGCCUCGAAGUAAAUUAUCUUAUGGCAUUUAAUAGUGUUGGGUAAAAAUAAAACCAAACAGUAAAAUAAACAAUUUGAUUCCAGUUUUGAUGAGCAUAUAUAUUUGUGUAUAUAAUUAUAGAUGUCUAUAUAGAUAACAUAUGUAACUAUACAUAUAUAGAAUAGGUAUUAUAUAUACAUUCAUUACAUAUACACACACAUAGUAUAUGUAAUGUACAGUGCAUAUGUUAUAUAUAAUGUAUAUUUUGUGUACAUAAUAUCUGCUCCAGAAAGCAGAAAAUUUAGACAAAUCUGAUGACAAAAACAGGAUACGUCUCUGCUCUGCUCAGCCUGAAGGACUGGUUUUGAGCCCUCAGAGGAGGGAGGAGUUAGGACCAGAUAGCAAGGCAGCUCUUUGUUGAGAAUCUCUGUGUUUCAUGCUGUUUGGGGGAAAACAAAGGGCAGCACAACUAUUGAAGGCCCCUCCCUAUUCUACCUACAGAUUGUGGGGCAGAUUUGGGACACCCAGAGCUCAAGGAAGCCAGGUGCAAAGGAGAGGAAGCACAUACAGGUGUGGACCUGCCCCUGAGCUCAUGACUGCAACAUGACCUUGGGAAAUUCCUGAAACAGUGGGAGAGAUUUGGAGAGAAGGCAGAGGCCAUGCAUCAGCAAGUCCAAGCAGGAGCCCACAUACCAUAAAUGUUUAACUCUCUAGUGGCUCAAGUCUAAAUACAUUUGGUCCCAAUGUUAAGUACCAUGAAAAAUAUAUGCCCCCAGUCCCUUGGCCACAAAAAGAAAUAAAUUGUGGUUUCAGGGGUGGGAGUAGGAACAAGUUUGAUCCUUGAAAGUUUACAAAGAAGAGGUGGAAUUUAUGCUAAACACAGCAAAACAAGAAUUCCUAUUAAAAAGCAUUUGGCGGAUUUCCCUUUGUGGCUCAAUGGUAACAAAACUGACUAGUAUCCAUGAGGACACGGGUUUGAUCUCUGGCCUCACUCAGUGGGUUAAGGAUCUGGUGGUGCAGUGAGCUGUGGUGUAGGUCCUUGGGUCCUGCUUUGCUGUGGCUGUGGUCUAAGAAUACAGCUACAGUUCCGAGUCAACCCCUAGCCUGGGAACUUCCAUAUGCUACAGGAGUGGCCCUAAAAAGACAAAAAAAAAAAUAGACAUGGGGUGGGUGAAAGAGAAGCAAAGACAAAGGGGGGUCGGGAGGAAGCAGUGGGCAAAGUCAGAUGUGACCAGAGGGGAGUGCGGCAUGGCUAGUGUGGAAGAUAAGACUGGUAUUUGGAAGAAAGAGCAUGCCACAGGUCAGUUUGUCUUUAACUCUGUGGGUGAUAUGGCCAACUGGCCAUCCCCCAGCUCUUGUGACAUGACCCCAAGACAAGAGAGAUAUUUUAAAUGUCUACUUCAUCCCACCAUUCCCUCUCCCUUAAGAAGGAAAAGAAGGCAGAGCUACAGAGAAUGGCAGUGACUUCUUCCAAUCACACUGCGAUUUGGCACAAAACGAGGACCAAACCUCACAUUCACAUGUGCUGACUUGGGCUCUUUCAUUGCUAACAAAGUCUUAUAAUUGUUCAUAGUAGUCUCUUAUGACCAUUUGGAUUUCUGUGAUAUUAAUUGAAAUGUCUCCUCUUUAAUUACAGUUUUGUUUAUUGAGUCCUUUCUUCUAUCUCUGUCUAGCUAAAGGAUUGUCAAUUUUGUUUAUUUUUUCAAAAAGUUAACUCAGUGUUGUCAAUCUCAUCUAUUGUUUUUCUAUUACUGCUCUGAAAUUUUUUAUCUCCUUCCUUAUGUUAAGGAGGCCUUGGUCUUUUUCUAGUUUUUUUUUAUGUGCAGAAUUAGAUUAUUUGAGAUCUUUCUUUACUUUCAUUGUGGGCAUUUAUCACUAUAUACUUCCCUUUAGCACUGCUUUUGCUUCAUUCCAUAAGUUUUGGUAUAUUGUGUUCCUUUUUUUUGGUGUUUUUAAAGAUACUUUUUAUUUCCCUUUUGAUUUUAUCUUUGACACAUUGGUUUUUCAGGAGUGUGUUGCUUAAAUUCCACACACUUGUGAUUUUUCCUUUUAUCUCCUGUUAUUUUCUAAUUUCACACCAUUGUGGUCAGACAAGUUAAUGUGUAUGACUUCAGUCUUUAUAUUUGCUAAGAUGUGCUUUGUGACCUAACAUAUGAUCUUUCUUGAGACUGCCCUUGAGAAGAAUGUGUAUUCUGUUGCAAUUUAGAUAGAAAUUUCUAAAUGUUUGUUAGGUCCAUUUAGUCUAAAACAUAGUUCAAGCUCAAAAUUUCCUUAUCGAUUUUCUGUGUUGAUGAGCUAUCAAUUGUUGAAAGUGGAAUACUGAAGUCCUCUACAAUUAUUGCACUUGGCCUAUUACUCCCUUUAGAUAAGUUAGUAUUUGCCCAAUAUAUAUAUGCCUAGACUGGCUGCUGAUGCAUGUCCCAUUCUCUGGAGUGGGGAGGAAGUGAAGAGGGAGCCAGGCAGCCAGUGGCUGGGAAUAUGAAUACCUGUGGGACAAAAAAUAUAGCGAAAUCUUCUGGGGAUCCAUGGCAGCUGUGAUGGCCACAUGGUUCCUCAGUGGCAAAACUCUUGGGGUCCUCCACAGAGCAAGUCACUGGGAACUGUGGUCACUCCUGCUGUGUGACUGGUACUAGCGACUCCUUCUCUUCUUCCUUAUUCCCAGCCAUUUCUAUACAUCUAGCUUUGCCAGUCCCUAGGUAGGCUGAAACCGAAGUGGGUUCUCUGUGCAGGUUGAAAGUGUGUUGCUGACACUGCUCUCCCCUCCCCAGUGAGGGGAACCCUUUCUAGCUGGGGAGUCAUCCCCCACCGCACCCCCAGCGGUGCUGAGCAAUGUUGGCUCAAGGGAUGAGAUGAUGCAGAUGAGGAAACUGGGGCUCAGUGAGCAUAAAGAAUAUAACCAAGUGUGUUUAUUCAUUCUAUAAUGUUCCAGACCCUAUUCUAGGGGCUGCAGACACAGGAGGAAGGGAACACAGGAGGGAACAUUUCAACAUGGAAAGACAGACAGUAACCAUAUAAGACAAUUAAUUAUUUCAGUUAGAGGUAAAUGCUGUGUCAGCAAUAAAAGAGAGCGAUGUGGUAGAGUUGAGAAGGAGGUUCAUCAAGGAAACUCAUCAUCCAGGAAGGCCUCUCCCAGGAAAUGACUCCAAACUGAGCUCUAAAUGAUAGGAGGGAGUCAACCACAGAAGAGCAAUCCAGACACAGAGAACCCUAGUUUAUGUUAGCAUGAAGGCCCUGAGGCAGCACCAGCUGGAUGAGUUCAAGUAAAAGCUAGAAGGCCAGUGGACAUCAUGAAAACAUGGAUAGACCAGAGAUGAGCACACUAAGUGAAGUAAGCCAG